Molecule: unclassified non-coding RNA, 353 nt
Filed under: soil metagenome
Description: partial contains 5.8S ribosomal RNA, internal transcribed spacer 2, and large subunit ribosomal RNA
Rfam family: 5.8S ribosomal RNA (bases 1-120)
Source: RNAcentral
GAUGAAGAACGUAGCGUAACGCGAUAUGUAAUGUGAAUUGCAGAAUUCAGUGAAUCAUCGAAUCUUUGAACGCACAUGGCGCCUUCCAGUAUCCUGGGAGGCAUGCCUGUCCGAGCGUCGUUUCAACCCUCGAGCCCCCGUGGCCCGGCGUUGGGGAUCUGCCCAGGCAGUCCCCGAAAACCAGUGGCGGACCCGUUACAGGCCCUUCCCUUGCGUAGUAGCAUUCGCCUCGCAUCGGGAGCCGGCGGGCUUCCAGCCUCUAAACCCCCAUCAAGUCCGCCCCGGCGGCACCAAGGUUGACCUCGGAUCAGGUAGGAAUACCCGCUGAACUUAAGCAUAUCAAUAGCGGAGGA